RNAcentral lists this ribosomal RNA (241 nucleotides) under uncultured bacterium. Its description in RNAcentral is "partial 16S ribosomal RNA". It matches the Rfam family "Bacterial small subunit ribosomal RNA", at positions 81 to 339 of the family's 1533-position model. The record is from RNAcentral.
UACAAAAUUGGAAAGCGGCGAACGGGCGAGUAACACGUUGGUAUCUACCUCUUGGUCAGGGAUAGCCAUCUGAAAGGAUGAUUAAUACCGGAUAGACUCUACGGAGUAAAGAUUUAUUGCCAAGAGAGGAACCUGCGGCCUAUCAGCUAGUUGGUGAGGUAAAAGCUCACCAAGGCUAUGACGGGUAGCUGAUCUGAGAGGAUGAUCAGCCGCAAUGGAACUGAGACACGGUCCAUACUCC